CGCGUAGGUGGGGAAGUACGUCAGAUGUGAAAGUCCUGGGCUUAACCUGGGGAUUGCAUCUGAGACUGCUUUUCUGGAGUGAAGUAGAGGGUGGCGGAAUUUCCGGUGUAGCGGUGAAAUGCGUAGAUAUCGGAAAGAACACCAGUGGCGAAGGCGGCCACCUGGACUUUAACUGACACUGAGGCGCGAAAGCGUGGGGAGCGAACA
RNAcentral lists this ribosomal RNA (207 nucleotides) under uncultured bacterium. RNAcentral's name for it is "partial 16S ribosomal RNA". It matches the Rfam family "Bacterial small subunit ribosomal RNA", at positions 568 to 774 of the family's 1533-position model. The record is from RNAcentral.